This 386-nucleotide long non-coding RNA is filed under the name Sinocyclocheilus grahami. Its description in RNAcentral is "lncRNA (ENSSGRG00000047801.1)". The record is from RNAcentral. Lineage: Eukaryota; Metazoa; Chordata; Actinopteri; Cypriniformes; Cyprinidae.
GAAACAUUUGUCAGUGAGAAAUAAUUGGCAUGGUUACACUUACACUCAUAAUAUUGUCCAUUGUUUGGCAACUACCCGAAGAGAGAUCUUGUGUCUUGCCCACAACAAACCCUUAGUAUGCUGGUCUGGAGCAUGUGGAACCUACAUAAAGGUUGUACAGGAAUAAUCCUGCUUUGGCUGCAUACGUCACUUUUGGGUCAAGUUACACUCAGAUGAUCUCUCUUCGUUAAAUGACAUCACAUACCUGCUGUAACAAAGCAACAAUUUGACUUGCAAGCAAUGCCAGCUGCCAGGAGAGCUAAUGUGUCUUCUUGACCAAGACAACAGUAAGACUUUCAAUCAAAUAUUGCAUUUUAUAUAUAUAAAUAAAUAAAUAUGCUUUACAA